UAGGAUAGCUCAGCUGGUAAAGCAUUAGACUCUUGAGCUCAAUGUUGUGGGUUCGAGCCCCACAUCGGGCAAAA
This is a non-coding RNA of Podarcis lilfordi (Lilford's wall lizard), 74 nucleotides long. The record is from the annotation of a GenBank genome assembly. Lineage: Eukaryota; Metazoa; Chordata; Lepidosauria; Squamata; Lacertidae.